AAAACGGCUCUUUUAAGAGCCACCCACAUAUUCUCUGAAAGAGCUU
Phaethon lepturus (White-tailed tropicbird) is the source of this 46-nucleotide non-coding RNA. Lineage: Eukaryota; Metazoa; Chordata; Aves; Phaethontiformes; Phaethontidae. The record is from Rfam.